This 248-nucleotide long non-coding RNA is filed under the name Homo sapiens (human). RNAcentral describes it as "non-protein coding lnc-HECW2-1:2". Lineage: Eukaryota; Metazoa; Chordata; Mammalia; Primates; Hominidae. The record is from RNAcentral.
GGAUAUGUAGUUUCCGGCGCCUGCCCUCCGGGGGGUCCUGUGCUGCCCACUUCACAGUGACUUGUCUCCGCCUGGUGAACUCGCGGUGUUCUGCUAAUCUUGCGGAGCCUCAAUGUGAGAUGCAGAGACUGCCCAUCAAACCACAGCCAUAUUCAUCAAGCUUUGAGCCGAUCCGGUGAAGAGAAAUGAGCACUGCAUACAUUAUUCAGAGAAAGGGACCAAAUAAAGCUUUUAAUAGGAAAUGAAAA